GGCCUGGCUGAAAUUUUGUCCUAGACAUUAACCCUACCUUGGCUUUGGCAGGCUAGUCUCACUGCCUAAGUUGCGCUCGCGGGACGCGUCUCUCUGUACGUG
This 102-nucleotide long non-coding RNA is filed under the name Chinchilla lanigera (long-tailed chinchilla). RNAcentral describes it as "lncRNA (ENSCLAG00000029053.1)". The record is from RNAcentral. Lineage: Eukaryota; Metazoa; Chordata; Mammalia; Rodentia; Chinchillidae.